AUGUACGUGCAUAAUGGUGUCAAGCUGCUGCACAGAAGAAAAACCACAGCGAUCCUAUUAAAUCUUGACAUCACCCAGGCUUUUGAUAGUGUACCUUGGGAGUACCUCCUUGAGCUGCUGUAAAAUCUGGGCUUCAGUGGCAGAUGCAGGGAUUGGAUCGUGCUGCUGCUGCCGACCUCCAGUUCGGCUGUCAUGCUCAAUGGGGUGCCCGGAGUGGAGUUGUUGCACCAGCAAGGGCUGCGCCAGGGGGACCCCCUCUCACCGUUGCUAUUCAUUCUGGCAAUUGAUCCACUGCAUCAUCUGCUUCAGCUUGCAGCGGAGAGAAACAUCAUAAACCCUCUGCCGGGAAGAGAGCUGAAGCUGCAUGUCAGUCUCUAUGCGGACGACGAUGUCCUCUUUGCAAACCCAAUCGCGGAAGAGAUCGAGGCUCUCAUGGGUAUUCUGCAGGGCUUUGGGGAUGCAACUGGCCUCAAGAUUAACCUCGUCAAAUCAUCUGCGGCGCCUAUCCGCUGCGAGGACAUCAAUAUGGCCGAGGUUUUGCAGAGCUUUGGGGGACAAAUGAAGUCCUUCCCGAUAACAUACCUGGGGCUGCCGAUUACGCCGACAAGGCUCAGGCUAGUGCACCUUUAA
RNAcentral lists this ribosomal RNA (630 nucleotides) under Triticum aestivum (bread wheat). Its description in RNAcentral is "partial small subunit ribosomal RNA". Lineage: Eukaryota; Viridiplantae; Streptophyta; Magnoliopsida; Poales; Poaceae. The record is from RNAcentral.